Molecule: long non-coding RNA, 3560 nt
Filed under: Vigna radiata
Lineage: Eukaryota; Viridiplantae; Streptophyta; Magnoliopsida; Fabales; Fabaceae
Description: long non-coding RNA (VRAD_LNC001459)
Source: RNAcentral
GCUAUUAGAAUUAGUUAUUCGUGAUUCUGUUCUAAUUACAGUAAUCACAUUAUUAGAAUUAGUUAUUCGUGAUUCUGUUCUAAUUACAGUAAUCACACUUUUGUUAGUCUGUUAGGAUUUACCAUAUAUUUCUUUUUCCAUUAUUAUGUUCUUCCCAUCCACAGAGAACUCUAUAAAUAAGAGUUCUCCCUUUGAUGUAAACACACAUAAACAUACAAUAAUAACACAGAUUUAGUUUUAUGCAGUUACCUUCGCUUCUCUAUUCUUCUUCUUCUUUCUCGUUUUCUUCUUAUUCUUCUCAGAUCUUCAUCAUCCUUCGAACCCCUUUCGAUCUCCCUUCAGAAGCCUUCACGCAACUAUCCAUACUCCAUCCUUGAAGAAGAACGCUAUUAGUUUGCUGGAGAAUCACCCAGAAGAAGCUUCGGUCCUUCUCUCUGCCAAGGGAUAGCUUCAGCCUUAUCCCUGCUCUGCUCCUCACCUACCUCUGACACGUGAGAAGCUUCCAGCAGAAGACUUUCACAAGUGAAAGGCAACAACGGGCAUUUGGGGUAAAAUGUUGGUUGGGCUUUUCUUAUAAGGCUCGGCCCAAUUUCUUUAUUGUCCAAGGGUCGUAGGCGGGAGGUGCUGGUGCUCGUGAACCACCAUUGCAGUUCAAUCGUGCCUUCGCAAAGUUCACUUCCAGUUUGAGAGGACUCCUGUUGUCGACACUUGCCUCGCGAGGUAAUCUUUCGUUCCCCACAUAUAUGAUAUACAUGUGUUGGAAAUGUGGUGUGGCCGUUUCUUUGGGCCGAGGGUUUACAUGCCGGAAACUACUUGUAGUGGAAAGGCCGCGCACACACUACACUCCAUAAUGCAUCUACUAUUCCAAACAAGGGAAGUAGGAAUUCUCUGGAAAGUGAAAACUACUUUACUUGUUUUUAGAUUGAGUUAGCUUAAAUUGUGGUUUGUAGUCUUGUUUAUGAUUAUGAACGAACUAUGACAUUGAGACUAUCACUUUUACUUCACAUUUUGAGCUGGUACUUACUCUAGGUUUUCUGUGCAGUAUAUCAAAAGGUUUUCAGGGAAAAGACAUGAGUUAUUUUGAUUUGUUAGGAAAUAGAGAGGGCGAAGAUAUCAUUCAAUUGCAAUUUUCUUUGAUCAUUAAUUUUUACAUGUUAAGCUUUUGUUUAAGUUCGUGUUCAAGAAGAAUAUAUUUUUUGCCUGAGUCCGUGUUCAAGUAGAGAGGGUGAAGAUAUAAUUUUUGCCUUGAUUGUAUGAGAAUUUUAUGUCUGAGUCCGUGUUCAAGAGUAUGGGAGAUUGAGNUCACGGGCUUUUGCUCAAGUGACAUGUUUGUUAAAAUAAAAGUUGUACUUUGGAUUCAUGGNCAUUUUGCUCAUAUAAUAUUUAACUUUUUUUCUAACUCAAAUGUGAGACUUGUUCUUGAACAUUUCACACAAAUUCAACUAGCUUGACCCAAGUGUGACNUGUCUUUNGUUUUCAGCNNGGGCUUGUUAAGUUUUGGGUCUCAAAGGCUACAAGUUUUGCUUUCAUUUAUUAUAGUGGCUAUGUGCUACUCUUUUUUGAGUUUUGAAGGCCUCAGGCUUGAUUUUAUUUUGACACUAUUCNUUUGUCCUAGCCUUUUAAAAUACAAAUUUUGGGGCAUUUACUUUCGUUUGUCACUCUAUUUUUUGUAUGGAAGGAUUAUUCUUUCUCUUAUUGAUUGCAAUGAUCGAGGAGAGUAGAUAUGUAGGCAGAAUAGAGAACCAUAAAAUGAAACGAAAAAUAUAUUGGCAGUAGCUUAAGGCCUAUCUUGAGAUAAAUACUCAGUUUGAUUAUUGUCAAAUCGGUUCCCUCUAGAGGACCUUGUCUCUGAUAGGUUUUAGAGCUGCAUUUUCGCUUGCUAAAUUUGCUUUUGCAAAUCUGGAAUCAUAUUGAUUCACACUGCUUCUGAUGAAUAUUUCUUCUUGUUUUAUAGUUUUUCAGGAAGUGAUUGAUUUCAUUUAUGUUGUCUGCAAUUAUUCAUUGCCAUUUUUUUAAAUUUAUUUAACAUGAUUGACUAUUGAAAUUAGAUUGUUUCAUGUUUGGAGUUCAAACCGUUUAUAACCACACCAACUUUUGAGUUAUUGUUAUUCUAUAAUAUCUGAUAUGGGGUACUGCUAAUGUUUAUUUUCUUCUAGUAAGCUUUGGUGUUCUUAAGUUGAUUUCUUUGUUGUUCUAAAGUUUUGUGGUACUGCUAAUCUGAUAUGGGGUACUGCUAAUGUUUAUUAAUGAGCAUGAUAAUGAUAAAGCCAUAGAGACUUUGCAUGAUAAUGUUUAUCUAUCCAAAUAUUGUUGCUUUCUUAAAGUAUUAAAUAAAUUAUGGUUUUCGUGUCUGACUAUAUGAAUUGGAAAGAUUUAGGAAAAAGCUCUGCCAGUGUUGAAAUAAGAAUUAAAAUAAGAAUUAAAAUAACUAUAUAUUAAAUAAAUUAUGGUUUUUUUAUUGGGUGCAUGUUUCGUUUUCUACAAAACCCAAUUCCCCAUACUUCAACUAGCAUAUUCUAGCGUCUUUGAGAAAUAAAAAAUAAAAUAACUAUAUACGCUGCAGUGUUUCCCUGCUUCCACAGUAAAUGGUGUGUUCCAUUAAUUAAUGAAGACAAAAAGAUUUUAAAUUUUGGAUAUCAAAUUGAUAAUGAUCACCAUUCAAAAUUGAUUUAAUCAUUCCAAUGGAUUGGUUCCCAACUCAUUAAUACGAAUAUAGAGAUAGAUCAUAGAACAUGUAGAUUUUGGUUUGAUGAUGAUAAUUGUCAUCAUUAAUAUGAAUACAGGUGAAACUUAUAUAAAGUGCAGAGUGGUUGUGUUUUCAUAGAAAUUUCGGCAUUAAACAAUAUAUAUUAGGAAAUUGAAAGAAAUUGGGUGCAAGCUUUUAUUUUGUUUCUUCUUUGUUUAAUGAUGCAGUUUCAAGUUCAUUUAAAGCUAUGUUAAGUGUUGCAAAUGAUGAAAUUUGGAGGAAGGCUUGGUGUUCAAUACUUGGAUGCUGGUUCUUGGUCAACUAUUGCAGUAGCUUUAAUUCUUGCAUUUUUCAGUUAGAUUGAGGUUGACGUGAAUUCAUCAGAUUGAUUAGAAGUUGUUGGACCAACUUUAGGCAUUAGAAAUUGGCAGAUUUUGGAGUCUGGUGCAGCAACUUGUUUCUAGAAGGAGGCUGGACGUUGAACCAGUUUUUGGCUUGCAGGUUUUUGGUGCAGUUUUAGCACUGUUGGAGCAACCAAAGGUCUUAAAUGGAACUGGAAAAGUGCUUCAUGAUGUUGCUUGAACUUGGAUAGUCUUUAUUAUUAGUUCUCAUUUACAUUUGCUCUUCCAUUGUCAGGUGUUUUCUUAUGUAGAAGUAGAAUUUAAAUGUUUUUUCUCUGUACUGAAGUGUAAGAACUUGUAAUGUUGUAGUGUUGUGAUAACAAGUAUCUUAUGUAAAAGACUACAAACAUAUUAUGCAAUAUUAUUUGAUUAUAUCUCCUUUUCAAUUGUCCUUCUCUAAUAGAAAUAUUAGUAGGUAGUUUAACUUAUGUCAUGAAAAAUUUAUAAUCUAAACUAGUGGAAUGAAACUAGAG